RNAcentral lists this ribosomal RNA (468 nucleotides) under uncultured bacterium. RNAcentral's name for it is "partial 16S ribosomal RNA". It matches the Rfam family "Bacterial small subunit ribosomal RNA", at positions 28 to 507 of the family's 1533-position model. The record is from RNAcentral.
GACGAACGCUGGCGGCGUGCUUAACACAUGCAAGUCGAACGGAAAGGCCCUGCUUUUGUGUGGUGCUCGAGUGGCGAACGGGUGAGUAACACGUGAGUAACCUGCCCUUGACUUUGGGAUAACUUCAGGAAACUGGGGCUCAUACCGGAUAUGAGCUCCUGCUGCAUGGUGGUGGUUGGAAAGUUUCGGCGGUUGGGGAUGGACUCGCGGCUUAUCAGCUUGUUGGUGGGGUAGUGGCUUACCAAGGCUUUGACGGGUAGCCGGCCUGAGAGGGUGACCGGCGACAUGGGGACUGAGAUACGGCCCAGACUCCUACGGGAGGCAGCAGUGGGGAAUAUUGCACAAUGGGCGGAAGCCUGAUGCAGAAACGCCGCGUGCGGGAUGACGGCCUUCGGGUUGUAAACCGCUUUCGCCUGUGACGAAGCGUGAGUGACGGUAAUGGGUAAAGAAGCACCGGCUAACUACGUG